This 292-nucleotide ribosomal RNA is filed under the name uncultured bacterium. RNAcentral's name for it is "partial 16S ribosomal RNA". It matches the Rfam family "Bacterial small subunit ribosomal RNA", at positions 505 to 796 of the family's 1533-position model. The record is from RNAcentral.
GUGCCAGCAGCCGCGGUAAAACGUAGGUGGCAAGCGUUAUCCGGAUUCACUGGGCGUAAAGGGCACGCAGGUGGUCUGGUAGGUAGGGCAUGAAAACUUUCGGCUUAACCGGGAGAGGCUGUCCUAUACCGCCGGACUCGAGGACGGGAGAGGGGAGUGGAAUUGCCGGUGUAGUGGUGAAAUGCGUAGAGAUCGGCAGGAACACCAGUGGCGAAAGCGGCUCCCUGGCCCGGACCUGACACUCAUGUGCGAAAGCUAGGGGAGCGAACGGGAUUAGAAACCCCUGUAGUCC